UGUUUCAGGAUAUCUUACGGUAGUGAUCAUUUGAAAAAAUGAACUUCACGACCUUUUAUUUACUUUUAUGCAUAAUUUUCGCAGGUAGAGGAGAUGAAAGAUGGAAAAAACGAACUAGAGAAAAUUCAUACAUUGGAACAUUAAAUGAAUCAGAGAUGGAUCGAGACUUGUGGCCGUAUGAAGACAACUUUGACGUAGAAACGGAUAAGUUCUACAGCAACGUGAACUAUAAAUUACC
Molecule: long non-coding RNA, 238 nt
Organism: Papilio polytes (common Mormon)
Lineage: Eukaryota; Metazoa; Arthropoda; Insecta; Lepidoptera; Papilionidae
Exons: 3
Source: RefSeq, a predicted model, not a curated record